AGUGGGGAAUCUUAGACAAUGGGCGCAAGCCUGAUCUAGCCAUGCCGCGUGAGCGAUGAAGGCCUUAGGGUUGUAAAGCUCUUUCGUGGGGGAAGAUAAUGACGGUACCCCAAGAAGAAGCCCCGGCUAACUCCGUGCCAGCAGCCGCGGUAAUACGGAGGGGGCUAGCGUUGUUCGGAAUUACUGGGCGUAAAGCGCACGUAGGCGGACUGGAAAGUCAGGGGUGAAAUCCCGGGGCUCAACCCCGGAACUGCCUUUGAAACUCCCAGUCUUGAGGUCGAGAGAGGUGAGUGGAAUUCCGAGUGUAGAGGUGAAAUUCGUAGAUAUUCGGAGGAACACCAGUGGCGAAGGCGGCUCACUGGCUCGAUACUGACGCUGAGGUGCGAAAGCGUGGGGAGCAAA
Molecule: ribosomal RNA, 402 nt
Filed under: uncultured Rhodobacter sp.
Lineage: Bacteria; Pseudomonadati; Pseudomonadota; Alphaproteobacteria; Rhodobacterales
Description: bacterial SSU rRNA
Rfam family: Bacterial small subunit ribosomal RNA
Source: RNAcentral